UAGAGUACGAAAGAGGAAAGUAGAAUUCACAGUGUAGCGGUGGAAUGCGUAGAUAUUGUGAAGAAUACCGAUGGCGAAGGCAGCUUUCUGGUUCUGUACUGACACUGAGGUGCGAAAGCGUGGGUAGCGAACAGGAUUAGAUACCCUGGUAGUNCACGCCGUAAACGAUGACAACUAGCUGUUGGGAAGCUAUGCUUUUCAGUGGCGCAGCUAACGUCUUAAGUUGUCCGCCUGGGGAGUACGGCCGCAAGGUUAAAACUCAAAUGAAUUGACGGGGACCCGCACAAGCGGUGGAGCAUGUGGUUUAAUUCGAUGCAACGCGAAAAACCUUACCUACACUUGACAUACUUGGAAUCUUUUGUAAUGAAAGAGUGCCUUUUGGAGCCAAGAUACAGGUGCUGCAUGGCUGUCGUCAGCUCGUGUCGUGAGAUGUUGGGUUAAGUCCCAUAACGAGCGCAACCCUUACCCUUAUUUGCCAGCGAUUCGGUCGGGAACUAUAGGGGGACUGCCGGUGAUAAACCGGAGGAAGGUGAGGACGACGUCAAGUCAUCAUGGCCCUUACGUGUAGGGCUACACACGUGCUACAAUGGGGAGUACAGAUAGACGCUAAAGCGCUAGCUGGUGCUAAUCUCAUAAAACUCUUCGUAGUCCGGAUUGCAGUCUGCAACUCGACUGCAUGAAGUCGGAAUCGCUAGUAAUCGCGAAUCAGCAUGUCGCGGUGAAUACGUUCUCGGGUCUUGUACACACCGCCCGUCACACCAUGGGAGUGUAUUGCACCAGAAGUGGGUAGUCUAACCUUCGGGAGGGCGCUCACCACGGUGUGGUCCAUGACUGGGGUGAAGUCGUAACAAGGUAACCGUA
RNAcentral lists this ribosomal RNA (861 nucleotides) under uncultured bacterium. RNAcentral's name for it is "bacterial SSU rRNA". It matches the Rfam family "Bacterial small subunit ribosomal RNA", at positions 642 to 1504 of the family's 1533-position model. The record is from RNAcentral.